UGGUUGUAAAAUUGUUGUUUUGUUCUAUUUUCGGAAAACAUAGCGUAGUUGCAUAAGGUUUGUUAAAAACAUUCGAUUAUAAAGUUAUCUGUAAUUUAAAUCCAAUUCCAUUCAAAACACGCAUCGUUUGAAAAUAAAAACCCUUGAUUUUUUCGGUAAACCUUUGGAAAACUACAUUUCAACAUUUUGCAGCAAAAAAAGUGUUGCUUUUGAUUAUUGUUUGAAAUCCCAUAUUUUGAGUUGUGUUAGGUCGGAUAUUUAAUUUGUUCUGUUUCCAUUCAAAUAUCUCAUGGAUGCAAAAAAAAAAAACUAAAUAAAUCACCCAUACCAUAGUAUUUUAAAUAAAAAUUACAGUCCCAACAUAAACCAGCACAUGGCCUAUCACAUGGUUGUGUGGCGUCGACAGUACCAAUUUUGACUUUUACCCUUCAUUAUUUUUCAAGUUUCUCGUUACACACCUGAUCAAAUUCUAACGUAAACUCAAAAAUUGAGUAUUCCACCACCUAAAAUACCAAACACUUAGAGAAUCAGCAACCAAUAGCGCAACCAUUAAGGGGCUAAAGCCCUCAAUUUGAUUCUAAAUACCAAAACAUUCCAAGAAAAAAUAUGACAAACCCUCAAACAUCCAUAACAGUUCCAAAUUAACAUAACCACUUACCCUUGGACGAACAUCACUUCUUCAAAUCCUAAUUUUCCGGUGAAUUAAACGUCUCUUAAACUUCACCUAAAACAAACCCAUCAAUUAACAAUGACAAAACACCAAACACACCUAAACAUAACCAUCACUAACAAGAGAAAUAAAUAACGAACAAAAAUUAGGGAACGAUCAUGCCUUACCUUUAGCACAUACCCCACAAAACAAGGAUUAACUCUUCAAGAAUUAGCAGUAGCAAAAAUUGAAGAAUAAAAGAAAGACGAAAUAGAAGGGAAAAAUCAAAUAAAGAAGAAGAUAGAUUUCGAUAGCAAAAAACAGAACAAGCGAUGUGUAAAACAAAUGGGGAAUGAGGGGUAACCAACUUGAAACAAAAAGUUGGAGCAGACUUAGAGAGAAUCAAGGAAAAAUAAAAUAAAAAUAAAAUAAAACCAAAUAAAAUAAUGGUCUUUUUAUUUUUCUUUUAUUAUAGUAAGAUAUUCAAACAUAUCCCAGUACCUAAAAAACCACACAAUAAGGUCGGC
This 1176-nucleotide long non-coding RNA is filed under the name Gossypium barbadense (sea-island cotton). RNAcentral's name for it is "long non-coding RNA (GBAR_LNC012237)". The record is from RNAcentral. Lineage: Eukaryota; Viridiplantae; Streptophyta; Magnoliopsida; Malvales; Malvaceae.